This 1258-nucleotide unclassified non-coding RNA is filed under the name Borreliella carolinensis. RNAcentral describes it as "partial 16S-23S ribosomal RNA intergenic spacer". The stretch from base 175 to 248 matches the Rfam family "tRNA". The record is from RNAcentral. Lineage: Bacteria; Pseudomonadati; Spirochaetota; Spirochaetia; Spirochaetales; Borreliaceae.
ACCUCCUUUCUAAGAGAAAGAUAAACUAAGGCUAAUUCUAUUAACUCUUCCCUACUCUUUUCUUUUGAUAAAAGGGUUUUUAAAACCAGUGUUAUUUUUUAAGUUUAAUGGAAAUUUGUGUAUUAAAUUUUUUAUUAAUGAUAUUAAAGCGUUCUAUUAAGUUUAAAUCAUUUUGGGGGUUUAGCUCAGUUGGCUAGAGCAUCGGCUUUGCAAGCCGAGGGUCAAGGGUUCGAGUCCCUUAACCUCCAUUUGGCAUGUGCCUUGGAUUGUGAUUAAGCAUGUUUUCAAAAAAUUUGUUAAAGUAAUUAUUUGAAGAUGAAACAGAAUAAGUUAGAAUUUUUAGGUUAAAGUUGGAAGCUUUUAAUACCAAGGAGAAUGUCUAGGAGCAAAAGCAAAUUUUUUAUAAAAACUUACGUUGUGUUACUAAAUCAUAAGGAUUAAAUAAGAUUACAUUUUUAAGCAGUUUAUUUUAUAAGCACCCCACAUUCAUUACUAACUUUUAAUUGGAAAUUAAUGUGAGUCGUUUGGCGUGAUGUCUGGGGGUAAGUCUUGUAGCGAGUCGCAAUUUUUGUUAUCGUUACCACUAUGUAAUGACCAGGAAUUAGUAUAAGAUUUUGAUUAUAAAGCGGAGGGCAAGGUUUGUGUUCAAGCCAUUACUCUUAUGUCUCACGUACGUGUUGUAAUGGCCUGUACAAAGCUAAGAUAAACAGCGGUGUGAAGUAAAGGUUUAAAUCGGGUCUCAAUAUGUAUUACAUUUUGAAAUUUGACUCCAUGAAGUUGCAAUUGUUAGUAAUCGUAUAUUGGGAUGAUACGGUGAAUGCGUUCCAAGGUCCUUUGCACAUUCUCCUGGUACAUUGUUCGAGUAUGGGUAUGAUGCCCCGCGAAUUAUUGUCCUAACCCGUAAGGGGAGAAGACAUAUAAGGUAUUUUUGGGGGAGGGAAAAGGGAUCAUAACAAGAUGAUUGUACUUCCCAGUAUCGCCGGAUUAACCCCUUUUUAAUAGAAAGAUAAAUUAAGGCUAAUUUUAUUGAUUAUUCUUUGUGCUUUUAUUUUUAUGAAAAAGUUUUUGAAGUAGAAGUAAAUUUUUAGUUUAAAUUUUUUUUAAAAAAACCUUUAGUAAGUGUUUGAUAGUAUUCAACUUAAUAUUUAAUUAAGCUAUUGUUUAAUGGUAAAUACAAUUUUAGAUUUUAGGGCGAAGUAUUUUUAUAUUAUUAAUUAUAGCUUAAAGCAGCACUACCGUGCUUAAAAUAAUGAAAUGC